AACGCAUAUUGCGCCCACCGGCACGCCGGUGGGCAUGCCUGUCCGAGCGUCGUCAUAACACCCUCGGGUCGCUGGCCCGGUGUUGGGGCUCCACGGCCUGUGGUCCCCUGAAGCGAUCGGCGGGGCGGCGGUGUCCUCUGAGCGCAGUAGCUUCUGUUCUCGCUCCUGCAGGCGCCGCGGCCCCCGCCGCAGAACCCCACACGCGAUAAAUGACCUCGGAUCAGGUAGGGUUACCCGCUGAACUUAA
Molecule: unclassified non-coding RNA, 247 nt
Filed under: uncultured fungus
Lineage: Eukaryota; Fungi
Description: partial contains 5.8S ribosomal RNA, internal transcribed spacer 2, and large subunit ribosomal RNA
Source: RNAcentral